ACUGGCUCAGUUGCUGCUUCACACCAAGGAAGCGAGUCAGUAGAUCAGCAGCAACAACAUGUACUUGCUGCAAAAUGGCUGCAAUCUCCCUUCCACAGUCCAGCUCUGGAGAUAGAAUCUCCCUUACAGCUCUCCUUAACCAGAAAUAUGCUAGAAAGGGAAAUCUGGGAAAUAUAGUUCAACCUAGCCAAGUUAAUACAUCACAAAGUCAUUGCAUAUGCACUGAAAGGGAAUCGUAGUGUAGGCUUUGGCAAAGACAAUGGUAAACCAAUUCCCUGACCUUAGAUAAUUUAGAAUAAGCUGAGGGAAAUAACCAUUAAAGGAGUGAUAACAAAUAUGAUGAAUGUCAAAAAAGAGGGCCAUAAAGUCUGCUACAAAAACUUGCAACUAGGAGAAUUAGGAGGUCAGCAAAGGAGUUAUCACUGAAGAGAUGAUGUUUCCAUUAAAACUUGAGAAUUGAUUAGUAAUUAGCCAUUGGGAGUAGAGAUUGGAGUGAGAGGUGUGAGGGCAUUUUCCAGGUAUAGAAGAUGUGAACAUUUCAAGGACAAGAAGAGAGUGGCUGGAAGCACAGUCUGAAAGGAAAAUCAGACCUGUAAAGUAGCCAUUCUAAGUAUGGAUAACUGCUGAUGGCCUUCUACCACAGUGUGAUCCUACCCAGAAGCCUUCACCAGUCAAAUGAAGUGGGAACAGCUACCUAAUCUUUGUGACACAUCUAAGGAUUUCUAAAUGGUCAUUUCUGCAGCAACCAACUGUGGGCAAGGAAUCUUCGACAACACUCCUUCUGGCACGGCUUUGCUAUGAGAGAUGCUUGCCAGAGGCUGCCAAAAUAAACUUGAAAACACAGGAGUUAACUUUCAUAAGGAAGUGGUUCUUAAAGUGUGACCCCUGAACUAACAGCCUCAGCAUCACUUUAGAACUUGCGAGAAAUGCACAUCUCCAGCCCUAGGUCAGCCCUACUGAAUCAGAAACUCCAAGGCAGGAUCAGCAAUCUGUGGCUUCACAAGCUCUGCAGAUGAUCGGAUGGACUAAGGUGGAGAUCCAAGAGGUGCAGCAGAGUCACCCGGAGUAAGAGCAUCCCAUCUUCUGCCAGAACCACCCUUCAUUGUGCCUCGAGAGUAUUUUUUUUGUUUUUAUUCCAAAAUGAACACCUUCUAUCCUAAAUAUUCCUCAAAAGCAAUACCCAUGGCAGGAUCAUGUGUACAUGCCACCAAAAUAUAGUGUCCUAUGACAUGUGAUGGCCAUGGGGCUGCUGAUUAAGAAGACAGCAAAACCCUAAGUUUCACUGGCGAACUCCUUGUCCCCAGAUAUCCUCAUCUCCUAGGAUUCCAAGAAGAGCCCUUGGAUAGGCUUCGGAAACAAAAUGAGUUUUAAUUAAACCAAGGUCUUCUAUGGCCAAGAAUAAAAUGCACGAGUAUCGUCAAAAAGAAAAACAACAGAAAGGUUGCCACAGCUGAAAAGGGAAAACCAAGCAGAAGUGUUUCCCCUACCAGGCCUGCUGAGAACUUUUACAGCCUACUUUAAAACUGUUCAGAUGAAAGACACAGAUCAGAAAAAAGUCUUCAAGUAUAUUUCUCUUUUCUUCCUCUAGCCAGAUUGUUUUUUUAAAAUACAGUGUAGUGAAAGAAAUAAGAUUAAUCAAAAAGAGUUGGUGGGAAGAAAAAUAAUAAAGCUCGUAGGUUGUUGUUGUUUAGUACAAAACAAAAAAAGAGAUUGUGCUAUAAAACAGAGGCCUGGUUGCUGCGGGGUGGGGGUUUGGGUGCAGGGGAAGACGUUCAGGAAGGCUAAAUACAAACAGGAGACUGUACCUGUUGGGAGGAGAAUAUACUCAGUAAUUUAUAGAGUCCUGAUGUGAGAUAAGUCAUCUUACUUUUGAUGUGGUUUGUGCCUAACUCAUUUAUUACGAAAAAUGAUUGGAAACCCAGAGCAUUUGAUUUAUUUAUCUAGCAACUUGCUAAAGCCCAAAACUAACCCAGAGAGCAAACAGCAAUAAGAAAGCCAUCUAUCAUCUUGAAUUAAACACUUGCUACCAAAUCAUAAAAAUUUGUCCUUUAUCCAAUCUAUGUCCAAGAUCAAUCAUAAAAGGUCAUGCCUUGGGAAUAAGGUGACUUGAAGCUUUCAACUAAAUUUCUAGGCUUCUGUGAAUUUGAGCUUCAACCUUCAAAGACAACAGGGCAUGGAGUUUGGCAGCAAACGAUCCAAUCAUCUUAAAUGCUGAUGUAAAAAUUGUGAUUCGCUUGAUUUAAAACACUGUUUUACUGUGAAUGUUUCAAGUUUUGUUUGGAUUCUGGUUUUUAAUACUUACUGGUAAGUAUGCAGAAAGAGAUACUUUGGGACUUUUAUUGCCAUAUUGCCUAUUACUGCUUCUGUGUUUAAAAAAUCUGCUUAUUGCAAGCAGGGUAGAGUCAUUUUAUGCAUAUUUGGCUUAAUUUUCUACUAAGCAAAUAAAAAUGUCUUCAUGU
Molecule: long non-coding RNA, 2459 nt
Organism: Pan troglodytes (chimpanzee)
Lineage: Eukaryota; Metazoa; Chordata; Mammalia; Primates; Hominidae
Exons: 4
Source: RefSeq, a predicted model, not a curated record